RNAcentral lists this ribosomal RNA (453 nucleotides) under uncultured bacterium. RNAcentral describes it as "bacterial SSU rRNA". It matches the Rfam family "Bacterial small subunit ribosomal RNA", at positions 9 to 507 of the family's 1533-position model. The record is from RNAcentral.
CGAGUUUGAUCCUGGCUCAGAACGAACGCUGGCGGCAGGCCUAACACAUGCAAGUCGAGCGCCCCGCAAGGGGAGCGGCGCACGGGUGAGUAACGCGUGGGAAUAUGCCCUGGGGCUGGGGAUAACGGCGGGAAACUGCCGCUAAUACCCGGUACGCCAUGAGUGGGAAAGGAGCAAUCCGCCCUGGGAGUAGCCCGCGUUGGAUUAGCUAGUUGGUGUGGUAAGAGCGCACCAAGGCGACGAUCCAUAGCUGGUCUGAGAGGAUGAUCAGCCACACUGGGACUGAGACACGGCCCAGACUCCUACGGGAGGCAGCAGUGGGGAAUAUUGGACAAUGGGGGCAACCCUGAUCCAGCCAUGCCGCGUGAGUGAAGAAGGCCCUAGGGUUGUAAAGCUCUUUCGCACGCGACGAUGAUGACGGUAGCGUGAGAAGAAGCCCCGGCUAACUUCGUG